Molecule: ribosomal RNA, 492 nt
Filed under: uncultured bacterium
Lineage: Bacteria
Description: partial 16S ribosomal RNA
Rfam family: Bacterial small subunit ribosomal RNA
Source: RNAcentral
AGUGAACGCUGGCGGUAGGCCUAACACAUGCAAGUCGAACGGCAGCACAGUAAGAGCUUGCUCUUGCGGGUGGCGAGUGGCGGACGGGUGAGGAAUACAUCGGAAUCUACUUUUUCGUGGGGGAUAACGUAGGGAAACUUACGCUAAUACCGCAUACGACCUACGGGUGAAAGCAGGGGAUCUUCGGACCUUGCGCGAUUGAAUGAGCCGAUGUCGGAUUAGCUAGUUGGCGGGGUAAAGGCCCACCAAGGCGACGAUCCGUAGCUGGUCUGAGAGGAUGAUCAGCCACACUGGAACUGAGACACGGUCCAGACUCCUACGGGAGGCAGCAGUGGGGAAUAUUGGACAAUGGGCGCAAGCCUGAUCCAGCCAUACCGCGUGGGUGAAGAAGGCCUUCGGGUUGUAAAGCCCUUUUGUUGGGAAAGAAAAGCAGCAGGUUAACACCCCGCUGUUCUGACGGUACCCAAAGAAUAAGCACCGGCUAACUUCGUG